RNAcentral lists this transfer RNA (82 nucleotides) under Adineta vaga. Its description in RNAcentral is "tRNA-Ser for anticodon UGA". It matches the Rfam family "tRNA". From Rfam's summary of the family: Transfer RNA (tRNA) molecules are approximately 80 nucleotides in length. Lineage: Eukaryota; Metazoa; Rotifera; Eurotatoria; Adinetida; Adinetidae. The record is from RNAcentral. RNAcentral also lists the same sequence under 3 other names.
GCUGCGAUGGCCGAGCGGUUAAGGCGUUGGACUUGAAAUCCAAUGUGAUCUUCACGCGUAGGUUCAAAUCCUACUCGCAGCG